Molecule: ribosomal RNA, 253 nt
Filed under: uncultured bacterium
Lineage: Bacteria
Description: partial 16S ribosomal RNA
Rfam family: Bacterial small subunit ribosomal RNA
Source: RNAcentral
UACGGAGGGUGCAAGCGUUAUCCGGAUUUAUUGGGUUUAAAGGGUCCGCAGGCGGCUCGUUAAGUCAGCGGUGAAAUUCCUCAGCUCAACUGAGGAACUGCCGUUGAUACUGGCGAUCUUGAGUGCGAGUGAAGUUGGCGGAAUGUGUGGUGUAGCGGUGAAAUGCUUAGAUAUCACACAGAACACCUAUUGCGAAGGCAGCUGACUAACGCGAAACUGACGCUCAGGGACGAAAGUGUGGGGAUCAAACGGG